RNAcentral lists this ribosomal RNA (1163 nucleotides) under Alsidium cymatophilum. RNAcentral's name for it is "SSU rRNA". It matches the Rfam family "Eukaryotic small subunit ribosomal RNA", at positions 77 to 1279 of the family's 1831-position model. Lineage: Eukaryota; Rhodophyta; Florideophyceae; Ceramiales; Rhodomelaceae. The record is from RNAcentral.
UACAACGAAACUGCGAAUGGCUCGGUAAAACAGCAAUAAUUUCUUCGGGGAUAAUACUACUCGGAUAACCGUAGUAAAGCUAGAGCUAAUACGUGCUACAAAGGCGAGAUUCGUUCUCGUGGUACUAAGUAUUAGGUACAAGCCAAUUUUUUUGGUGAUUCAUACUUAUCUUCUGAUCGCACUCUGUGCGACGCCCCGAUUAAAUUUCUGACCUAUCAACUAUGAUGGUAAGGUAGGGUCUUACCAUGGUUGUGACGGGUAACGGACCGUGGGUGCGGGAUUCCGGAGAGGGAGCCUGAGAAACGGCUACCACAUCCAAGGAAGGCAGCAGGCGCGCAACUUACCCAAUCCGAACUUCGGGAGGUAGUGACAAAAAAUAUCAAUAGGGGGACCAAUGGUCUUCCUAAUUGGAAUGAAAACAAUGUAAACACCUUAUUGAGGAACCAGCAGAGGGCAAGUCUGGUGCCAGCAGCCGCGGUAAUUCCAGCUCUGUAAGCGUAUACCAAAGUUGUUGCAGUUAAAACGCUCGUAGUCGGAUUUUGGCGUGUGCUAUUGAUGCUCCUGAAGGACGCUGACGUAGCUCCGCCUUUGUGGAUGGGGGUGUGGUGGUGCUUUAUUGUAUUGCUGCAUUUCCGCCACUGUUUACUGUGAAAAAAUUAGAGUGUUCAAAGCGAGCGAUUGCCAUGAAUACAUUAGCAUGGAAUAAUAGAAUAGGACCUGAUCCUGUUUUAUUGGUUUGUCGGUAUCAGGUAAUGAUUAAGAGGGACGGUCGGGGGCAUUUGUAUUCCGGCGCUAGAGGUGAAAUUCUUGGAUUGCCGGAAGACAAACAGCUGCGAAAGCGUCUGCCAAGGACGUUUUCAUUGAUCAAGAACGAAAGUAAGGGGAUCGAAGACGAUCAGAUACCGUCGUAGUCUUUACUAUAAACGAUGAGGACUGGGGAUCGGACGUGGCCUAUUGGUACGUUCGGCACCCUCCGGGAAACCAAAGUGUUUGCUUUCUGGGGGGAGUAUGGUCGCAAGUCUGAAACUUAAAGGAAUUGACGGAAGGGCAUCACCGGGUGUGGAGCCUGCGGCUUAAUUUGACUCAACACGGGAAAACUUACCAGGUCCAGACAUAGUAAGGAUUGACAGAUUGAGAGCUCUUUCUUGAUUCUAUGGUUGGUG